Long non-coding RNA from Triplophysa dalaica, 454 nucleotides. RefSeq lists it as uncharacterized. The transcript is spliced from 3 exons. NCBI's taxonomy places the organism in Eukaryota, Metazoa, Chordata, Actinopteri, Cypriniformes, Nemacheilidae. The record is from RefSeq and is a predicted model, not a curated record.
UGCUGCCGCCUCUUGAUCACUCCCUAACCCCAGACACAUGCUUGCAAAGAUAGUAGCACUUCUUGUGGAACAGCAGACUCCAGUCAAAGACAGACUCCCUGAGGCCACCAAAAAGGAAAACAAAGCACUUGAUCUUGGAUUAUUUAGUGGAGUGGAUGUGAAGACACAGUCUGGUGUAUGAAGCUGGCAAUAAAAAAAACCCAGGCCAAAACUGUGAACUGGAGAGCUGUACAUGGGAAAAUAGGAUUCCCAAUUUUGUUGUAAUUGAGGCUGUAAAAAGUCCUUCAUGUGCACAGAUGACUGAGCUGGAGGUCAAAAACAGUUCCUAAACCUGGGUAUCAUCUAAUUGUUUUCAUCUUCUACAGUAUUGUUUGUAAUUAAUUUGACUAAUAUAUAUUUGCACCUCUGUAAACAUAUUUUUUUUGUCUUUAACUUCUCUUGUUUGUUUAUUGGU